CAAGGGGUAGUUUAUUUAAAAAUAUAAAUUUUGGAGGUUUAUGAAGGGGUAAUUCUUCCUCCUUGA
RNAcentral lists this transfer RNA (66 nucleotides) under Diploptera punctata (Pacific beetle cockroach). RNAcentral describes it as "tRNA-Pro". The record is from RNAcentral. Lineage: Eukaryota; Metazoa; Arthropoda; Insecta; Blattodea; Blaberidae.